UACGUAGGGAGCAAGCGUUGUCCGGAAUUACUGGAUGUAAAGGGAGUGUAGGCGGAAUGCCAAGUCAGGAGUGAAAUUUAUGGGCUCAACCCAUAACUCUGCAUUUGAAACUGUCGUUCUUGAGUGAAGAAGAGGUUGGGGGAAUUCCUAGUGUAGCGGUGAAAUGCAUAAAUAUUAGGAGGAACAUCAUUGGCGAAGGCGACCAACUGGGCUUUUACUGACGCUGAGGAUCGAAAGCGUGGGAAGCAAACAGGAUUAAAUACCCUGUUAGUCCACGCUGUAAACGAUGAUUACUAGGUGUGGAGGAACUGACCCCUUCCGUGCCGCAGUUAACACAAUAAGUAAUCCACCUGGGGAGUACGACCGCAAGGUUGAAACUCAAAGGAAUUGACGGGGGCCCGCACAAGCAGUGGAGUAUGUGGUUUAAUUCGAAGCAACGCGAAGAACCUUACCAUCUCUUGACAUCCUGUGAAUCCUUCAGAGAUGAGGGAGGAGCUUCGGGAACGCAGAGACAGGUGGUGCAUGGUUGUCGUCAGCUUGAGUCGUGAGAUGGUGGAGUAAGUUCCGCAACGAGCGCAUCCUUUAUCAUUAGUUGCUAUGCAAGAGCACUUUAGUGAGGCUGCCGUUGACAAAACGGAGGAAGGUGGGGAUGACGUCAAAUCAUCAUGCCCCUUAUGAUCUGGGGCACCCACCUUCUUCAAAGGCACUUUACAGAGGGAAGCAAGACUGUGAAGUGGAGCAAAUCUCCAAAAAUGGUCUCAGUUCGGAUCGUAGGCUGCAACUCGCCUACGUGAAGUCGGAAUUGCUAGUAAUCGCAGAUCAGCAUGUCGCGGUGAAUACGUUCCCGGGCCU
This 852-nucleotide ribosomal RNA is filed under the name uncultured bacterium. RNAcentral's name for it is "SSU rRNA". It matches the Rfam family "Bacterial small subunit ribosomal RNA", at positions 524 to 1381 of the family's 1533-position model. The record is from RNAcentral.